CCUACGGGAGGCAGCAGUGGGGAAUUUUGGACAAUGGGCGAAAGCCUGAUCCAGCAAUGCCGCGUGAGUGAAGAAGGCCUUCGGGUUGUAAAGCUCUUUUGUCAGGGAAGAAACGGUGAGAGCUAAUAUCUCUUGCUAAUGACGGUACCUGAAGAAUAAGCACCGGCUAACUACGUGCCAGCAGCCGCGGUAAUACGUAGGGUGCAAGCGUUAAUCGGAAUUACUGGGCGUAAAGCGUGCGCAGGCGGUUUUGUAAGUCUGAUGUGAAAUCCCCGGGCUCAACCUGGGAAUUGCAUUGGAGACUGCAAGGCUAGAAUCUGGCAGAGGGGGGUAGAAUUCCACGUGUAGCAGUGAAAUGCGUAGAUAUGUGGAGGAACACCGAUGGCGAAGGCAGCCCCCUGGGUCAAGAUUGACGCUCAUGCACGAAAGCGUGGGGAGCAAACNGGAUUAGAUACCCUGGUAGUCCACGCCCUAAACGAUGUCUACUAGUUGUCGGUCUUAAUUGACUUGGUAACGCAGCUAACGCGUAGAAGUAGACCGCCGCGGGAGGUACGGUACGCGAGAAGUAAACGUAACGAACGAAGUUAGUACGGCGUAGAGACGAGCGACGGACGACGACGAGGGAGGAGG
RNAcentral lists this ribosomal RNA (630 nucleotides) under uncultured bacterium. RNAcentral's name for it is "bacterial SSU rRNA". The stretch from base 1 to 542 matches the Rfam family "Bacterial small subunit ribosomal RNA", at positions 338 to 873 of the family's 1533-position model. The record is from RNAcentral.